UGCGGGGUAGAGCAGUUGGUAGCUCGUCGGGCUCAUAACCCGGAGGUCGCAGGUUCGAGUCCUGUCCCCGCUA
This 73-nucleotide transfer RNA is filed under the name Prolixibacter denitrificans. RNAcentral describes it as "tRNA-Met". It matches the Rfam family "tRNA". Rfam says of the family: Transfer RNA (tRNA) molecules are approximately 80 nucleotides in length. Lineage: Bacteria; Pseudomonadati; Bacteroidota; Bacteroidia; Marinilabiliales; Prolixibacteraceae. The record is from RNAcentral. RNAcentral also lists the same sequence under 8 other names.